GGUUGUGGCUCAGUGGUAGAGUGAUUGCCUAGCAUGCACAAGGCACUGGGUUCAAUCCUCAGCACCA
RNAcentral lists this transfer RNA (67 nucleotides) under Marmota monax (woodchuck). RNAcentral's name for it is "tRNA.Ala". The record is from RNAcentral. Lineage: Eukaryota; Metazoa; Chordata; Mammalia; Rodentia; Sciuridae.